RNAcentral lists this ribosomal RNA (66 nucleotides) under Brochothrix thermosphacta. The record is from RNAcentral. RNAcentral also lists the same sequence under 1 other name. Lineage: Bacteria; Bacillati; Bacillota; Bacilli; Caryophanales; Listeriaceae.
UUUGGUGACGAUAGCAAAGAGGAUACACCUGUUCCCAUCCCGAACACAGUAGUUAAGCUCUUUAGC